GCUCUCAUGGUGUAUGGUAGCACAACAGAUUUUGGUUCUGUUUGACAUGGUUCGAGUCAGUGUGAGGCAACA
RNAcentral lists this transfer RNA (72 nucleotides) under Crassvirales sp. RNAcentral describes it as "tRNA-Gln". It matches the Rfam family "tRNA". Rfam says of the family: Transfer RNA (tRNA) molecules are approximately 80 nucleotides in length. Their secondary structure includes four short double-helical elements and three loops (D, anti-codon, and T loops). Lineage: Duplodnaviria; Heunggongvirae; Uroviricota; Caudoviricetes; Crassvirales. The record is from RNAcentral.